Molecule: ribosomal RNA, 254 nt
Filed under: uncultured bacterium
Lineage: Bacteria
Description: partial 16S ribosomal RNA
Rfam family: Bacterial small subunit ribosomal RNA
Source: RNAcentral
UACGUAGGGGCCGAGUGUUGUCCGGAUUCAUUGGGCGUAAAGAGCGUGUAGGCGGCCGCUUAAGUCCUGCGUGAAAUCUCGGAGCUCAACUCCGAGCGGUCGUGGGAAACUGGGCGGCUAGAGUGCGGGAGAGGAGCGUGGAAUUCCUGGUGUAGCGGUGGAAUGCGCAGAUAUCAGGAAGAACACCCGGUGGCGAAGGCGGCUCUCUGGAACGCAACUGACGCUGAGACGCGAAAGCGUGGGGAGCAAACAGG